This 520-nucleotide ribosomal RNA is filed under the name uncultured Glomus. RNAcentral's name for it is "SSU rRNA". It matches the Rfam family "Eukaryotic small subunit ribosomal RNA", at positions 569 to 1093 of the family's 1831-position model. The record is from RNAcentral. Lineage: Eukaryota; Fungi; Glomeromycota; Glomeromycetes; Glomerales; Glomeraceae.
AGCAGCCGCGGUAAUUCCAGCUCCAAUAGCGUAUAUUAAAGUUGUUGCAGUUAAAAAGCUCGUAGUUGAAUUUCGGGGUCAAUACGUCGGUCGUGCCUCGGUACGCACUAACGUUAUUGAUCCCUCCCUUCUGACGAACCGUGAUGUCAUUAAUUUGGUGUUGCGGGGAAUCAGGACUGUUACCUUGAAAAAAUUAGAGUGUUUAAAGCAGGCAAUCGCUCGAAUACAUUAGCAUGGAAUAAUGAAAUAGGACGUUCGAACCUAUUUUGUGGUUUCUAGGAUCGACGUAAUGAUUAAUAGGGAUAGUUGGGGGCAUUAGUAUUCAAUUGUCAGAGGCGAAAUUCUUGGAUUUAUUGAAGACUAACUACUGCGAAAGCAUUUGCCAAGGAUGUUUUCAUUAAUCAAGAACGAAAGUUAGGGAUCGAAGACGAUCAGAUACCGUCGUAGUCUUAACCAUAAACUNUGCCGACUAGGGAUCGGAUGAUGUUAAUUUUUAUGUACUCAUUCGGCGUCCUUACGG